AUCAGAGCAUGAAGCCUGCAUUCCACUCCAGGAAGUCUGAUUCCAGAGACCACACUAACGACAACUAGAAUAUAAGAAUUGGCAGCUUAAGAUAGUUCUGAAUAUUCCUUCAUUCAGAGCUUCUAGAAGAGAGUAGUAGAAGAACUUCUGUGGACAGAAAGAGAGAGCACACAAGUGGAGGGGGGAUGCAGAGGAAGAGGGAGAGAGAGAAUCCCAAGUGGGCUCCAUGCCUAUCAUGGAACCCAAUUCAAGGCUUGAUUCCACCACCUCAAGAUCACAACCUGAGCUGAAAUCAAGAGUCAGAUACCCAACCAACGAUCCACCCAGGUAGGCUCCACACUGGGGAGCCCAACUCUGGACUUGAAAUCACCACCCUGACAUCAAGACCUGAGCUGAAAGCAAGAGUCAGACCCUUAACUGACUGAGCCACCGAGUGCCCCCAAACAUUUGAAAAUAAAUUUCUCUCAGUCUUGUCCUGAUUGCUGGUAUCCUUGGUUCUUUUUAACCAUUACCAUACCAAAAAAUAAAUAAAUGAAUGAUUGAAUGAAUGACUAAAUAAAUAACAAUUGAAUCUAACUGCUUCAGUAAACCUUUUCGGAAUGCUUUCCAGUUUGUCAAUACUCCUUAAAAUACAAAACCUAGAACCAAACGCAGUAUAAUCUUUGUUGACUGACCUUUAUGUGUCAGACUAUUGUUACCCAUGAAUUGUACACUAUAUUUGUGUUGAUAUAGAUGCCUGGAAAUCUAGUACACAUUGAUAAUUCUUUUAUAUUAGUCUUGUAUCAAUUAAGACUCUAAGAAUCUUUUUCACGUGAAUCACCGCCCAGUUUGAUUUUCUUUGGGCUAUCACUAGAAAAUUGAUUUUUCUAAAUACCUAAAAACAAUGCUAAUAAUGCAUACUAUUAAAUGCAACUUAUAAAUGCAUAACAUAUACAAAGGAAAACACAUAAUCCAAACAUAUAUGUUAUAUAUUUAUAUAUACUAUAGUAAUAUAUAAUAAUUGUUGACAUUUUGGUAUAUUUCCUUCCACUUUUGAUAUUUAGAUAAUAGAAGCUGUACUGUACUGCUAUGGUCUGAAUGCUUAUGUCCCCCAAAACUCAUAUGUCAAAAUCCCGAUGUCCAAUGUGAUGGUAUUCAGAGAUGGGUCUUUUGAGAGAUGCUUAAGUAAUGAUAGUAGAGACCUCAUGAAUGGAUCUAAUGUUCAUAUGUAAGAGACCCCAGAGAGAUAGCUCCCUUGGCCUUUCUCCAUUGUAAGGAUACACUGAGAAGUC
Long non-coding RNA from Canis lupus familiaris (dog), 1271 nucleotides. RefSeq lists it as uncharacterized. NCBI's taxonomy places the organism in Eukaryota, Metazoa, Chordata, Mammalia, Carnivora, Canidae. The record is from RefSeq and is a predicted model, not a curated record. The transcript is spliced from 3 exons.